GUUCUGAGUGGAGCACAGAGUGACGUCUCUCUGGAGGCUCGUCAUCUACUCUGCAUUUUCAGUGCACUCAUUCAUUUUUUAACACCCACUUUUUCCUUUCAGGGUCAGCCUACCCAAGUAAGGACUGGGUGGAAGGAAGAGAAGCAUCCCAGACAGGCAGCUGAUGAUGUGAGGGGCGAGCGAAGAACAACAUCCACACUCCACAUCAACAGCAAACCAAACAGGUGACCAGAUGCCUUUUACAAAACCAGGCUGUAUUGCAGGCCUGGCCAACAGAGAAGGACUUUUUGAAAGCCCCGCUAGUCACAGAUGAGGCUGCGGCUGAGUUGGAGAUGAUCGAUCUUUGUGAGGAGGACCAACUGAAACCUGCUUUAAGGGAAGGGACCAUUGAGUUGUGGAAAAGUGUGCCAAUGGAAAAUUACCCCAAUGUCAAACGGGCUGCGCUCUCCAUACCGUCAAUGUUUGGGUAAACAUACGUCUGCGAGUCGGUGUUUUCUUCCCUGAAACACGGGAAAUCAAAGCAUCGAUCUGUUCUGACUGACACACGUGAAAGAAUUGCUUUGAGUGGCAACAACGGAAUACAAGCCAGAUCUGAAGAGGAUUGUUCAAGGCAAGGAAUGCCAGAAGUCCCACUAAGCAACAUGCAUAGUGAGAGAAAAACGCUAUCGUAAAUUGUUAUAUUUUUUGUUUGUGGACUUGGUUGAACUGAGAGUUUGUGUGAGACAGCACACAAUGUUUAUUGUUGAAAAUGACUGGCCUGUGUUCUUAGUCUUGUAGUACUGUAGGAGUCCAUUUCUGUCAUUAUCAUGUUGGUGUGUGACAUUUACAGUAAAUCUGGCUGAGCAGAGGUCUGUGUGUGUGUGAGAGAGAGAGAGGGGAAGGGAUGGGGGGAUGUUCAUGUGUGCCCAUGUGUAUGAUGUGGCUCUUUGCAGUAACACAGUAAAAAAAUUGGCUCUUAGUCUCUGACUGGUUGGCCACCCCUGCUGUAUUGCACUACACAAAUAGGUGUUUAUGUCAUUCAGCCUACAAUAAAAAUAAGAUGGACUAAAUAACAGAAACAGGCAACAGGUGUGAUAAAUAGUUUUUUUGAGCAAACAUUUAUGUUAAUUCCAAGUGGAUUUUACCACCAAUCUGAGGAGAGAUACGAGUCAAUAUCUAAUAAUACUGAUGACAUAACCCCAACGCAAGGUCACUCCCCUCUGCCCAGACAGUGAAAGAUACAAACAUGUUCUUCAUACUGUAAGUUUUUCAUGAAGC
RNAcentral lists this long non-coding RNA (1257 nucleotides) under Scophthalmus maximus (turbot). RNAcentral's name for it is "lncRNA (ENSSMAG00000026472.1)". Lineage: Eukaryota; Metazoa; Chordata; Actinopteri; Pleuronectiformes; Scophthalmidae. The record is from RNAcentral.